RNAcentral lists this transfer RNA (77 nucleotides) under Erysipelotrichaceae bacterium. Its description in RNAcentral is "tRNA-Thr". It matches the Rfam family "tRNA". Rfam says of the family: Transfer RNA (tRNA) molecules are approximately 80 nucleotides in length. Their secondary structure includes four short double-helical elements and three loops (D, anti-codon, and T loops). Further hydrogen bonds mediate the characteristic L-shaped molecular structure. tRNAs have two regions of fundamental functional importance: the anti-codon, which is responsible for specific mRNA codon recognition, and the 3' end, to which the tRNAs corresponding amino acid is attached (by aminoacyl-tRNA synthetases). tRNAs cope with the degeneracy of the genetic code in two manners: having more than one tRNA (with a specific anti-codon) for a particular amino acid; and 'wobble' base-pairing, i.e. permitting non-standard base-pairing at the 3rd anti-codon position. Lineage: Bacteria; Bacillati; Bacillota; Erysipelotrichia; Erysipelotrichales; Erysipelotrichaceae. RNAcentral also lists the same sequence under 1 other name. The record is from RNAcentral.
GCCGUUUUAGCUCAGUAGGUAGUAGCGCUUUCUUGGUAGGGAAGAGGUCAGCAGUUCGAAUCUGCUAAUCGGCACCA